GCUGGUUUAGCUCAGUUGGCAAAACACAAGGUUCUUAACCUUAUGGUUGUGGGUUCAAGCCCCACAGUGGGCG
This 73-nucleotide transfer RNA is filed under the name Zea mays. It matches the Rfam family "tRNA". Rfam says of the family: Transfer RNA (tRNA) molecules are approximately 80 nucleotides in length. Lineage: Eukaryota; Viridiplantae; Streptophyta; Magnoliopsida; Poales; Poaceae. The record is from Rfam by way of RNAcentral.